This is a long non-coding RNA of Pseudopipra pipra, 1964 nucleotides long. RefSeq lists it as uncharacterized. The transcript is spliced from 2 exons. The record is from RefSeq and is a predicted model, not a curated record. Lineage: Eukaryota; Metazoa; Chordata; Aves; Passeriformes; Pipridae.
UCUGGGUACAGGAGACACGCUCCUUUUUCAAGUCACGUAAGACUUGGUCUCAUGACUGAGAUGGGUAUUAGGAUUUUCCCUGUUUCUUACUCACAGUGCUGGUCCUCUGUAGCUUCUAAAACAAGCACUCAAGGAAGGGGAAGGGAAGCAGGAUGCAGAGUACAUCGUGCCUCUGGUCACUGCCAAGAUCUGCUCUUUCAGAGGGCAACAGAUUCAAGAGAUCACCUCCAUAAGAAAGACCAUGCGAUUGUUUUGGAAAAGCUCAGAAACAGAACAAAUGUACAGUUACAACCAUGAGCAGAACUUUGUAGAAAAGGAAAUUGCUCUGUAUAGCUAGAAUUGCUCAAAGUAAAUAAUCUCAAAUUUAUUUGUAUAGAUACACAUGUUGCAUAGCAAAAAUAUUGACAGACUUCCCAUUUUGAGACACCUUUAAAUGUAGUAAAUGACAGGACUGGUAGUCCUUUCCUUCCUAUCUCCUUGCAUAAAACUCAAGUCUACCUCCUGUGUUAUUUAUACAUAAAGAAAAGAAAGAGCUCAUAAACUAUAGUGACAGUGACUGUAAGCAAGACAAUUCACCAAGUGACAAUGUUACCGGCGGAAGGAAGUGUGUUGAAACAGGACAGUUACACUUUCUCAAUACACAGUAUUUUAAGGAGAAGUUGAAGGAAAAGCUAUGUGAAACUGAAAUAAAAUCUAAAUUCCAAUAUUAGUGGGGAUAUAUAUUUUCUCACUCUUAAAAGCCUGAGCCUUUUUCCCUUGAAAAUGUUGACAGAAUACUCUUCAGAAUAUCUUUAAAAUUGCACAAAAUUUAAUAAUUACAUAAUAACUUGUUCACCUCUUGCAGUGCAGGCUGAGGAAAGUGCUCUGAAGAAAGCAGUAGGAACUGGAAGAAAAUUUUCAGCACCGGCAGUUUUUGGUUACUGGUGGGUAAAAGAAAGUUCUGGGGGUUGCGGAAACCUUUGAGGUGAGAGCUGAUCCCACAGUAAUUUUUUAAGAGAGCAACCAACCACUUGCUCAUUACCAGCAAUGAGCAAAGCAGAAGAGUGGGAUUAAUUUCUGUGUUGAAAUUCAUAUGCUUGUGUGUCAUGGCUGUGUCCCAGCCCACCAUUUUGAAUCCAAGAUUCUGCAGACAUGGGAAAUAAGGCUCUCUGCUAGAUAUGAGGGACAGUAUCAACAGUAUCCUGUUUUGCCCAUGUCCAGGUCUGUUAUUUCCUCUUCUCCUUUAACACUACUCAGUAUGAGCUUUAACCUCAUUUAGCUUCCAGAAAGCCUCAUGUCAUGUCAUGUCAAACCACCACACCUCAAAAUUGUUUCUUGUAAUAAUUCAACUCUCCACAUUGCUUGCAAGACAGUUAAAUUGAAAAAACAGGUUUUCAGGUUGAAUUCUGGGUAUUAUAAUCUAUUUCUAGGUAUAAGUAUUCAGGUUUCCACCUGUUCUCAGAAAACUGGGAAACAAACUGAGUUUAUGACCUGUGUCCACACAAGUAGGUAUCACACACAAGAAGACUUCAUUCUCCAUGUUUACCACAAACCCACCGAAGCUGCUGCUCUGUCUGGAGGUCAGUUAAUUCAUCAAUGGAUCUCCAGCUGCACUGACAAGCAUAUGCUCGUGCUCCUUUCUUCUUUAUCAUCUUUGCUCUUAGUUUACUGAGCUCAGGCAUGUUAUUCCUGCCAAACAAGUGAAUUCAGCUUAGGAUCACGCUUUUUUUUUUUUUUUUAUUUUUCAGAAAAAAGAUUCAUGAGGCUAUCUCAAAUCAGAAGAGCUUUUAAGGGCACUUCUGAGUACCACAGUCAUGAAUAAAUUUAGGGAUAUAUUUAAAUUCUGUUUUGAACACAAUCCUUUCCCGAGAUCAUUCUCGGUCCAUAGUUGCUGUGUUCUCAGAUCAACUAGAGAUUGAUGUUUUUGUAAGCAAUGUUCUCUGUUGGGUUUAGAGACCUUGUGUCAGCCUCCAGAGAAAGAGCUG